GGGCCCGCACAAGCAGUGGAGUAUGUGGUUUAAUUCGAAGCAACGCGAAGAACCUUACCAGGGCUUGACAUCCCUUGAACGCCGUAGAGAUAUGGUUUCCCUUCGGGGCAAGGAGACAGGUGGUGCAUGGUUGUCGUCAGCUCGUGUCGUGAGAUGUUGGGUUAAGUCCCGCAACGAGCGCAACCCCUGUUGUUAGUUGCCAGCAUUAAGUUGGGCACUCUAGCAAGACUGCCGGUGACAAAUCGGAGGAAGGUGGGGACGACGUCAAAUCAUCAUGCCCCUUAUGUCCUGGGCUACACACGUACUACAAUGGCUAUUACAGCAGGAAGCGAAGGAGUAAUCCGGAGCAAAUCCUCAAAAAUAGUCCCAGUUCAGAUUGUGGGCUGAAACUCGCCCACAUGAAGUCGGAAUUGCUAGUAAUGGCAGGUCAGCAUACUGCCGUGAAUACGUUCCCGGGCCUU
Molecule: ribosomal RNA, 461 nt
Filed under: uncultured bacterium
Lineage: Bacteria
Description: bacterial SSU rRNA
Rfam family: Bacterial small subunit ribosomal RNA
Source: RNAcentral